AGGUGAGUUCGGGAGAUAGGAUAUCUAUCACUACUGAUGCAUUGAUACCAGGAGGUGAUAAUCACAUAUUAUUUAGCAAUGUUCAUAAUUUGCAAAAUUUAAAGGUGUCAAAUCUAAUCGAUGCAAAUCUAAGAACAUGCAAACAGGAGAUGAUUCUUAAUACUGUCUCACCGGUGGACACCAAAAGAAUCCUUUGUAUCCCACUGGCAAGAGAGACCCGUGAGGAUAUGCUAGUGUUGGAUGAGGAAGCCUCAGAGGAAUUCUCUGCCCACAACACUUACAAAUUAUUACAGAAAAAUCUUAUGGGGCCUAAAGCUUACGCUUUACAAACCGAUUCUAGUGAUUUCUACAAAAAGCUAUGGGGCCUAAACCUCAUUGGGAAAAUUAAAGUUACAAUUUGGAGGUUCUCAUGGAACUAUCUACCUACUAUUGUAAUUAUGAAACAUAAGAAUCUAGUAAAUAUAUUUUGUUGUCCUCGAUGCAGAAUGGAGGAAUAAACUAUUGAUCAUCUGUUUCGUAGGUGUCCUGUAUCAGUAGAAGUCUGGUCAAAAUUUAAGCUUAAGCAUAUUCUCAAAAAUUCAGAUUUGAGGUUUGGUCACUGGCUUAACCAGGUUUUUGGUGAGUGCUCAAUUCCUCAACGUCACCUUCUCUGCUAUGUGCUUUGGGCUAUCUACAGAGACAAAAAAUUAGGGUUCAUGAAAGAAGUAUUGUUAUUGGUAAAGUUAUAGCUCAUUUUGUUGUCAACUAUAUUUCUGAAGUUAAUGAAUCCAAGAAGAGAGCACCUAUUAAAACAAAAAAAGUGGUGGAGUGGAAGAAACCUUUGGGAACGAUUAUCAACAUUAAUUUUGACGGAGCUUAUGACAGAUAGAAAAUUAGGUUGGCCUCGGGUAUUGUCGCGAGAAAUGUUGAGGGGGAAGUGUUGAUUUCAAAAUCAGAGACCCACAAGGGGGUCCUUUUAGCUUUCAUCGCCGAAGCCAUCACUUGUCACCCAGCAGUGCAAACGAGGUUAGAAGAAGGAUGGCCGGAGGUAAUAGUUGAGGGGAUGCAUUAUCCAUUAUAAAGAAGAGUAAAUCACAAUAUCCGAAUAAAUCAGAAAUAGGAACUUAUAUUAGAAUAUUAUUUCAGGCAAUCACUUUCAAGCAUGUUCCAAGAUUGGCUAAUGGUUUAGCCCAUGUUUUUUGAAACAGAAACUUUGAAAGAGGGUGAGGAGUUUUACUUGGUGGAGAGUGUUCCUUCAUUUGCGGUGCACCGUUUUGCUGCAGAGAGGGUGGGGGAAGUAGACUAAAGAAUGGGGAAAUGUUUAGCAGGUUUUGGGAAGAAGCUGUACUUUGUUUGUUUUGGGGAAGAUAAAGGAUUUCUCUGAUGAAUGGAACCAUCUGGAAUGAGAUAUGAUUAAUUGUUGUUGGGACGGGUUUGUAGAAUGUUUUUGAUUGGGCAACAGAACGGUGGUGCACAUCUUUUUUUGUACUUUAUUUAUUUAUUUAUUGUUGAUUUUUCUGAGUAGGUUUGGGCUUAAGUUCUGGG
Molecule: long non-coding RNA, 1524 nt
Filed under: Gossypium barbadense (sea-island cotton)
Lineage: Eukaryota; Viridiplantae; Streptophyta; Magnoliopsida; Malvales; Malvaceae
Description: long non-coding RNA (GBAR_LNC000959)
Source: RNAcentral